This 619-nucleotide long non-coding RNA is filed under the name Apteryx rowi (Okarito brown kiwi). RNAcentral describes it as "lncRNA (ENSARWG00000010610.1)". The record is from RNAcentral. Lineage: Eukaryota; Metazoa; Chordata; Aves; Apterygiformes; Apterygidae.
CAUGUGCUAUUUACUUUUAGAAAGAAGGAGGAGUGCUCCUCUGGUAUUCCCUAUUGCCAUGGUGCUCUUCCGGUUUCAGAAGAUCAGCGUGAGACGAACGAUAAUCACUUGAGCAAUCAGUGCAUACAGUUGGAAAGGAAGUGGCUGCUUCCAAGAGCUGGAGAGAUUGCAUAUGAAGCACUUGACACCCUAAUGAUACUUCCUUGAAGUGGACACAAAACGGAAAGAUGAGCUCCUGGAUGAGACUUGUUCAGUUGCAUCAUGUAGGCUUGAGACUGCAAACAGUGGAAUGACAUUUUCUUCUACCUGAAGCUGGGUUUCUUUUGAAGCGUGUUUUUGUUUUCUGCUGCCAGAUUCCCUUACCCUAUCUGAGGAAGCUGGGACCUGUGUGCCUGGGUUUAUUCUAGAACUGCAGUCACUGGGACCUGAAGAGCUCUGCCCAUGUGUGGAUGUUUGCUGGCGUUACUGCCUUGAACUCUCCGUUGAGCAGGGCAGCAGGGAAGCGGCAAGUGUGUGCAGCAGGCAGAGUCCGAGUCCACAGCAGCUGGUCACGAAUCCCGAAGGCCAAGCAAGAGCAAAGGCUGGCUGGGCUGUGAAAAUUGCUCCUCUGAGGUCCUAG